RNAcentral lists this ribosomal RNA (301 nucleotides) under uncultured bacterium. Its description in RNAcentral is "partial 16S ribosomal RNA". It matches the Rfam family "Bacterial small subunit ribosomal RNA", at positions 509 to 807 of the family's 1533-position model. The record is from RNAcentral.
CAGCAGCCGCGGUAAUACGAAGGGGGCUAGCGUUGUUCGGAAUUACUGGGCGUAAAGCGCACGUAGGCGGACUUUUAAGUCAGGGGUGAAAUCCCGGGGCUCAACCUCGGAACUGCCUUUGAUACUGGAAGUCUUGAGUGUGGAAGAGGUAAGUGGAAUUGCGAGUGUAGAGGUGAAAUUCGUAGAUAUUCGCAGGAACACCAGUGGCGAAGGCGGCUUACUGGUCCACAACUGACGCUGAGGUGCGAAAGCGUGGGGAGCAAACAGGAUUAGAUACCCGAGUAGUCCCUGUCUCUUAUAC